Molecule: non-coding RNA, 253 nt
Filed under: uncultured bacterium
Lineage: Bacteria
Also listed under: 1 other name
Description: partial 16S ribosomal RNA
Rfam family: Bacterial small subunit ribosomal RNA
Source: RNAcentral
UACGUAGGAGGCAAGCGUUGUCCGGAUUUAUUGGGUUUAAAGGGUGCGUAGGCGGCCUAAUAAGUCAGUGGUGAAAGCCGACAGCUUAACUGUCGAACUGCCAUUGAUACUGCUAGGCUUGAGUACAAAUGAGGUAGGCGGAAUUGAUGAUGUAGCGGUGAAAUGCUUAGAUAUCAUCAAGAACACCGAUUGCGAAGGCAGCUUACUAAGAUGUAACUGACGCUGAGGCACGAAAGUGCGGGGAUCAAACAGG